UCGAACCUUAAAGUCAUGUAUUACUCUCUGAUCCAUUUACUAUUCUUUGCUAUUUUUGGUGCUUACAACUUUACGUAUGUUUAUCUUCUUCUUUAAUUUCUUUGUUUUGUUGACUUGUUACUGAUACGUAAUGUACUUUUGGGCUGAGCUUCAUAGUGCUUUGAAUAAGUUGAUAAAAAAGACCCUUUUUUGGGCUAGAGCAUAGGGUAGAAAUUCUGCGUAUAUAUGGGCGAUGUUAACAAUUUCUUUUCAAGAUCACUGUUUUUUGAGUUAUCUCUUUCCCGUCAAACUAAUUGAUAGAAUGAGGUGGUUGAGUUUCUGACUUCAAAGAAUUUGUUAUUGCUCUUGUGAAAUUUUCAUGGAUGAGUGUCUUUGAUGUUUCACUGAACAUAUAGGGUUCUAUUGUAGCUAUUGAAUGAAUUAUGAAACUAUGUUAUAUAGAGAACAAAAGUUCUACUACUAUUCAUGGAAUUGAGGUAUAAUUACUUUAUGAUUCAAUUGUUAAUAGUCAUAAAGAAUGAGACGAAGGAAGAUUCAUAAACUUUCACAAACAUAGAUACUUUGCCUCACAUACCUUUACUUUGGCCUUUUUAAGCGUAUCACAAUGUUUGUUACCUCUUUCACCAAUACACUAUGACAAUAUAUAUCAAGAGGAACCAAUAUUAGCAAUAAUGCUCAUGUUUUAGUCAUUUAAAUAUAUUAUCAAACACUUGGUGGGCAUAAAGCAUCAUAGCCUUUAUUAAUGGUGUUUCUACACCCAACAACCCAUCCUCACUCCUAGAUAAUUCUAAAAUCUCAAAUUGUUAUAAUCAAUAUCAUUCUUAAUCACCCAUGAGAUAAAUAACACCCUUAAUCAAUAAUAUAAUGUAUGAAAGAAGACAAACACUAGGUGUAGCUUCUUCCUAAUAGGUUAGUUGGACUUUUUCUUCCUAUGUUGUACAGUAUUUAUUUUGUUAAGCAUGUUCUCACUAUAGUUUCUGUCUUACUUCUAUUCAUUUGAUUUUGUUUGCCUUAUAAAAAAAAUAAUUUGAUUUUGCUUACUGUUAGAAGGGAAGCGUUGGAGCAAUGCUAAGUUGUCUGAACUAUAGGCCAUGACCGUGAAAUCAGCUACUAAUGCUUGAUUUUCAGGGUAGGCUGCGUGAAUGCGGGAUGCUUUAUGCACGGCGCUGCGAUUUUUUCUUGUUCGUCAUAGCUUGUUAUAGAUUUACCUUCUUUGUUCCAGUUACUUGUAAUAUCAUAGCUUACUAGAUUUCAGUUUGAUGGUUUCUUUUAUGAAAAUUUUCUUUUCUUCCACAGGGAUGGAUUUUAUCAUCAAGGUGUGGUGGGUUCAUGAAAUCUUAUUUCAGUAAAUCGGAGAAGUUGACUAGCGCCUUUCUAAAGCAGAAUCAAUGGUACGAAAUGCCUACUCAUCAUCAGAACUAAGAGACACUUAAUCUAAGAUAUGAGAACGAUAUAUUUUCGCCCUCAUGUUUGUAUGAGAAAGCUAUUAUUUAUACCCCCUUAUUUAGACGCACACUACCUUAGUUGGCUUUAGAUGACAGACCUGUAAGACUGUGCCUACCGUUCCUUUCUGUUCAUGAACCCCUCAUAGAUGAUAUAUCUAGUAUCAUAGGUAGAGUGAUAUCUCCAGUUUGCCCAUCCUGGCAUUGUGUUUGUUAUGGGACUUGAGCUUAUCUGUGCACCACAACUGGGACCCUUGUCUUCAUGCAAUCAGGCUAUUCUUUGCUACUAAAGUGGCACCUUGUCUCUUGGUCUAUCUCGUCCUCCCUCUCCUAACCUGUCCGUAGUUGCAUAUUUGGACGCUUACUGGCAUAUCAACCCGAUACCUGUUGCUCUACUAUGGUUAUGCUGUUUUUCUUGGUUCUGACAUUGUCGCCUUGAGUGCAAGAAACAACCUGCUGGUACUAAACCCAGUGCAUAUUGACAACUCCAAUCCAUCAAUUACAUUGACAAAGCAUAUUCAGAUAAGAGAUAUAGAUUAGUAUUAAGUCAUACCUAUGAAAUGGAUCUAAUCGAUCAAAUGUAAAUUUCAAAGUAGAUACAUAU
RNAcentral lists this long non-coding RNA (2046 nucleotides) under Nicotiana tabacum (common tobacco). RNAcentral's name for it is "long non-coding RNA (NTAB_LNC002770)". Lineage: Eukaryota; Viridiplantae; Streptophyta; Magnoliopsida; Solanales; Solanaceae. The record is from RNAcentral.